GACGAACGCUGGCGGCGUGCUUAACACAUGCAAGUCGAACGGAAAGGCCCUGCUUGCAGGGUACUCGAGUGGCGAACGGGUGAGUAACACGUGGGUGAUCUGCCCUUCACUUCGGGAUAAGCCUGGGAAACUGGGUCUAAUACCGGAUAGGAGCCAUUUUUAGUGUGAUGGUUGGAAAGUUUUUUCGGUGUAGGAUGAGCUCGCGGCCUAUCAGCUUGUUGGUGGGGUAAUGGCCUACCAAGGCGGCGACGGGUAGCCGGCCUGAGAGGGUGGACGGCCACAUUGGGACUGAGAUACGGCCCAGACUCCUACGGGAGGCAGCAGUGGGGAAUAUUGCACAAUGGGCGCAAGCCUGAUGCAGCGACGCCGCGUGGGGGAUGACGGCCUUCGGGUUGUAAACUCCUUUCGCUAGGGACGAAGCUUUUGUGACGGUACCUAGAUAAGAAGCACCGGCUAACUACGUG
Molecule: ribosomal RNA, 464 nt
Filed under: uncultured bacterium
Lineage: Bacteria
Description: partial 16S ribosomal RNA
Rfam family: Bacterial small subunit ribosomal RNA
Source: RNAcentral